GGGGACGUGGGGGCGGGAGGGGCAGGAAUGCGGGGGUGGUAUGGGUGAAGCGGAAGUACGGGGCGGCAAGCGAACGCUGGCGGAUGGAUAAGUGGUAUGGGGAGGAGCCGGGCUCAACGUGGGAGUUGCAUUUAAAACGGUCCAGCGAGAGGGGUGUAGAGGGGGGUAGAAUUCCGGGGGUAGCGGUGAAAUGCGUAGAGAUCGGGAGGAAUAGCGGGGGCGGAGGCGGCCCCCUGGACAAAGACUGACGCUCAGUUGCGAAAGCGAGGUGAGCAAACAGGAUUAGAGACCCUAGUAGUC
This 300-nucleotide ribosomal RNA is filed under the name uncultured Pyrobaculum sp. Its description in RNAcentral is "partial 16S ribosomal RNA". The stretch from base 52 to 300 matches the Rfam family "Bacterial small subunit ribosomal RNA", at positions 547 to 795 of the family's 1533-position model. Lineage: Archaea; Thermoproteati; Thermoproteota; Thermoprotei; Thermoproteales; Thermoproteaceae. The record is from RNAcentral.